RNAcentral lists this ribosomal RNA (253 nucleotides) under uncultured bacterium. RNAcentral describes it as "partial 16S ribosomal RNA". It matches the Rfam family "Bacterial small subunit ribosomal RNA", at positions 524 to 776 of the family's 1533-position model. The record is from RNAcentral.
UACGGAGGGGGCCAGCGUUGUUCGGAAUUAUUGGGCGUAAAGGGCGCGUAGGCGGCGAGGUAAGUCAGACGUGAAAUCCCCCGGCUCAACCGGGGAAUUGCGUCUGAAACUGCCCCGCUCGAGGCCGGGAGAGGAGAGUGGAAUUCCCAGUGUAGCGGUGAAAUGCGUAGAUAUUGGGAGGAACACCGGUGGCGAAGGCGGCUCUCUGGACCGGUUCUGACGCUGAGGCGCGAAAGCUAGGGGAGCAAACAGG